GACGAACGCUGGCGGCGUGCUUAACACAUGCAAGUCGAACGGAAAGGCCCUUCGGGGUACUCGAGUGGCGAACGGGUGAGUAACACGUGGGUGAUCUGCCCUGCACUUUGGGAUAAGCCUGGGAAACUGGGUCUAAUACCGAAUAGGACCACGCGCUUCAUGGUGUGUGGCGGAAAGCUUUUGCGGUGUGGGAUGGGCCCGCGGCCUAUCAGCUUGUUGGUGGGGUAAUGGCCUACCAAGGCGACGACGGGUAGCCGGCCUGAGAGGGUGACCGGCCACACUGGGACUGAGAUACGGCCCAGACUCCUACGGGAGGCAGCAGUGGGGAAUAUUGCACAAUGGGCGCAAGCCUGAUGCAGCGACGCCGCGUGAGGGAUGACGGCCUUCGGGUUGUAAACCUCUUUCAAUAGGGACGAAGCGCAAGUGACGGUACCUAUAGAAGAAGCACCGGCCAACUACGUGCCAGCAGCCGCGGUAAUACGUAGGGUGCGAGCGUUGUCCGGAAUUACUGGGCGUAAAGAGCUCGUAGGUGGUUUGUCGCGUUGUUCGUGAAAACUCACAGCUUAACUGUGGGCGUGCGGGCGAUACGGGCAGACUAGAGUACUGCAGGGGAGACUGGAAUUCCUGGUGUAGCGGUGGAAUGCGCAGGUAUCAGGAGGAACACCGGUGGCGAAGGCGGGUCUCUGGGCAGUAACUGACGCUGAGGAGCGAAAGCGUGGGGAGCGAACAGGAUUAGAUACCCUGGUAGUCCACGCCGUAAACGGUGGGUACUAGGUGUGGGUUCCUUCCUUGGGAUCCGUGCCGUAGCUAACGCAUUAAGUACCCCGCCUGGGGAGUACGGCCGCAAGGCUAAAACUCAAAGGAAUUGACGGGGGCCCGCACAAGCGGCGGAGCAUGUGGAUUAAUUCGAUGCAACGCGAAGAACCUUACCUGGGUUUGACAUGCACAGGACGCCGGCAGAGAUGUCGGUUCCCUUGUGGCCUGUGUGCAGGUGGUGCAUGGCUGUCGUCAGCUCGUGUCGUGAGAUGUUGGGUUAAGUCCCGCAACGAGCGCAACCCUUGUCCUAUGUUGCCAGCGGGUUAUGCCGGGGACUCGUAGGAGACUGCCGGGGUCAACUCGGAGGAAGGUGGGGAUGACGUCAAGUCAUCAUGCCCCUUAUGUCCAGGGCUUCACACAUGCUACAAUGGCCGGUACAAAGGGCUGCGAUGCCGUGAGGUGGAGCGAAUCCUUUCAAAGCCGGUCUCAGUUCGGAUCGGGGUCUGCAACUCGACCCCGUGAAGUCGGAGUCGCUAGUAAUCGCAGAUCAGCAACGCUGCGGUGAAUACGUUCCCGGGCCU
RNAcentral lists this ribosomal RNA (1337 nucleotides) under uncultured bacterium. Its description in RNAcentral is "bacterial SSU rRNA". It matches the Rfam family "Bacterial small subunit ribosomal RNA", at positions 28 to 1381 of the family's 1533-position model. The record is from RNAcentral.